CUUAUAAGACUUGGGCAAAAUCCAACUUGAAUUAAUUAGUGAAACAGAAUGAAUCCACCUUUUCACCACUUCAAUCAAAUGCCAGUUAGUAGCAAUUAGUACCCACUGAAAAUGAUAUACAAUCCUGAAAAUUCUAAUCAGAGCUGGCAUUUCACCAUGUUGCCUGGGUUGGUCUCAAACUCCUGGGCUGAAAGUGAUCCUCCCACCUUUGCCUCUCAGUGCUGGGAUUACAGAAAUGAGCCACCGCACCUGGCCCACAGACACCUUCUAAUAUGCUUAUGUGCAUGUCCAUAUUAGUGAAUGGAAGAAUACCUUCUUCUAUCUCUAUGGAAAAAAAUCCUGGGGAGAAAUUCAAGCUAGCUGAAGAAAUUUGCAUAAGUAAUAGGGAACCAAAUGUUAAUCACCAAGACAAUGGGGAAAAUGUCUCCAGGUCAUUUCAGAGAUCCUAGAGGCAGCUUUUCCCAUCACAGGCUUGGAGGACUAAGAGGGAAAAAGUGGUUUCUUGGGUUAACCUUGGGAUGUGGCACCCUGCAUCCCAGUCACUCCAGCUCCAGCCACAGAUACAAGGGCCAAGGUACAGCUCAGCCCAUUGCUUCAAAGGGUGGAAGCCCUAAACGUGGACAGCUUCCAUGUGGUGUUGAGCCUGCGAAUGCACAGAAGACAAGAGUUGAGGUUUGAGUACCUCCACCUAGAUUUCAGAGGAUGUAUGGAAAUAACUAGAUGUCUAGGCAGAAGCAUGCUGCAGGGGCAGAGCCCUCAUGGAGAACCUUUGCUAAGGCAGUGUGGAAGGGAAAUGUGUGGAUUGGAUACCCCACAGAAAGUCCCCACUGGGGCACUGCCUAAUGGAGCUGUGAGAAGAGAUCCAAUAUACUCCAGACCCCAGAAUGGUAGAUCCACCUACAGCUUGCACCAUGCACCUGGAAAAGCCACAGACACUCAACACCAGCCCAUAAAAGCAGCCAGGAGGGGGACUGUACCCUGCAGAGCCACAGGAUGGAGCUGUCCACAACUGUGGGAGCCCACUCCUUGCAUCAGCAUGCCCUGGAUAUGAGACAUGGAGUCAAAGGAGAUUUUGGACCUUUAAAAUUUAAUGACAGCCCAGCAGGGUUUCAGACUUGCAUGGGGCCUGUGGCCCCUUUGUUUUGGCCAGUUUCUUCCAUUUUGAAUGGGAACAUUUACCCAAUGACUCUACCCUCACUGUAUCUUGGAAGUAACUAACACCUCCUUAUUGAUUUUACAGGCUCAUAGGUGGAAGGGACUUGUCUUUUCUCAGGCGAAACUUUGUAUUUGGACUUUUGAGUUAAUGCUGGAUGAGUUAAAACUUUGGGGGCUGUUGGGAAGGCAAUGACUGGUUUUGAAAUGUCAAGACAUGAGAUUUGGGAGGCGCCAGGGGUGGAAUGAUAUGAUUUGGCUCUGUGCCCCCACCCAAAUCUCACUUCAAAUUGUAAUCCCCAUGUGAUGUGGGAGGGACCAGAUGAGAGGUGAUUGGAUCAUGGGGGUGGUUUUCCCCAUGCUGUUCUCAUGAUAGUGGGGAGUUCUCAUGCAAUCUGAUGGUUUAAAAGUGGAAGUUUCCCCUGUGCUCUCUCUCUU
RNAcentral lists this long non-coding RNA (1590 nucleotides) under Pongo abelii (Sumatran orangutan). Its description in RNAcentral is "lincRNA". Lineage: Eukaryota; Metazoa; Chordata; Mammalia; Primates; Hominidae. The record is from RNAcentral.